RNAcentral lists this ribosomal RNA (329 nucleotides) under uncultured eukaryote. RNAcentral's name for it is "partial 18S ribosomal RNA". It matches the Rfam family "Eukaryotic small subunit ribosomal RNA", at positions 1470 to 1796 of the family's 1831-position model. The record is from RNAcentral.
CCCUUAGAUGUCCUGGGCCGCACGCGCGCUACACUGAGUGUCUGAGAUACGAGUCUGCCUGGUCCGGCAAGGUCUAGGUAAUCGCUAAAAGACACAUCAUGCUUGGGAUAGAUUAUUGCAAAUAUUAAUCUUGAACGAGGAAUUCCUAGUAAGCGCAAGUCAACAGCUUGCGUUGAUUACGUCCCUGCCCUUUGUACACACCGCCCGUCGCUACUACUGAUUGGAUGUUUAAGCGAGGUUCUCGAACUGCUAGCGACUUAGCUUCGGUGAGGUCGCAGUGUGGGAAGUGAACCUAGCUUUGGUGUCUGGAGGAAGUAAAAGUCGUAACA